GGGAAUGUGGCUUAGUGGUAGAGUGCUUGCCUAGCAUGCAUAAAACCCUGGGUUCGAUUCCUCAGUACCA
This is a non-coding RNA of Dipodomys ordii (Ord's kangaroo rat), 70 nucleotides long. Lineage: Eukaryota; Metazoa; Chordata; Mammalia; Rodentia; Heteromyidae. The record is from Rfam.